GAUGAACGCUGGCGGCGUGCCUCAAACAUGCAAGUCGAGCGGGGCUAUGUAAUAUCGCAAGGUAGAACAUAGCCUAGCGGCGAACGGGUGAGUAACACGUGGGUAACCUGCCUGGAAGACAGGGAUAACGAUUCGAAAGGGUCGCUAAUACCUGAUAAUAUCCUUUCAUCGCAUGGUGAUAGGAAGAAAGGGGAAACCCGCUUUACAGGAUGGGGCCCCGCGUUCCCAGUCUAAGCUAGUUGGUAAGGGUAACGGCCUACCAAGGCGACGAUCAGUAGCCGGCCUGAGAGGGUGGACGGCCACACUGGGACUGAGACACGGCCCAGACUCCUACGGGAGGCAGCAGUGGGGGAAUAUUGCGCAAUGGGGGAAACCCUGACGCAGCGACGCCGCGUGAGCGAAGAAGGCCUUCGGGUUGUAAAGACUCUGUUGUAAGGGACGAAGGAGCUGGGUAGUAACUGACCUGCGGUGACGGUACCUUACCAGCAAGCCCGGCUAACUACGUGCCAGCAGCCGCGGUAAAA
Molecule: ribosomal RNA, 524 nt
Filed under: uncultured bacterium
Lineage: Bacteria
Description: bacterial SSU rRNA
Rfam family: Bacterial small subunit ribosomal RNA
Source: RNAcentral